UCAGAGGGGGGUAGAAUNCCACGUGUAGCAGUGAAAUACGUAGAGAUGUGGAGGAAUACCGAUGGCGAAGGCAGCCCCCUGGGAUAAUACUGACGUUCAUGCUNGAAAGCGUGGGUAGCAAACAGGAUUAGAUACCCUGGUAGUCCACGCCCUAAACGAUGUCGAUUAGCUGUUGGGCAACUUGAUUGCUUAGUAGCGUAGCUAACGCGUGAAAUCGACCGCCUGGGGAGUACGGUCGCAAGAUUAAAACUCAAAGGAAUUGACGGGGACCCGCACAAGCGGUGGAUGAUGUGGAUUAAUUCGAUGCAACGCGAAGAACCUUACCUGGUCUUGACAUGUACGGAAGAACUCAGAGACGAGUUUGUGCCUUCGGGAGCCGUAACACAGGUGCUGCAUGGCUGUCGUCAGCUCGUGUCGUGAGAUGUUGGGUUAAGUCCCGCAACGAGCGCAACCCUUGUCAUUAGUUGCCAUCAUUUAGUUGGGCACUCUAAUGAGACUGCCGGUGACAAACCGGAGGAAGGUGGGGAUGACGUCAAGUCCUCAUGGCCCUUAUGACCAGGGCUUCACACGUCAUACAAUGGUCGGUACAGAGGGUAGCCAAACCGCGAGGUGGAGCCAAUCCCAGAAAACCGAUCGUAGUCCGGAUUGCACUCUGCAACUCGAGUGCAUGAAGUCGGAAUCGCUAGUAAUCGCAGGUCAGCAUACUGCGGUGAAUACGUUCCCGGGUCUUGUACACACCGCCCGUCACACCAUGGGAGUGGGGGAUACCAGAAGUAGGUAGGGUAACCGCAAGGAGCCCGCUUA
This 804-nucleotide ribosomal RNA is filed under the name uncultured bacterium. Its description in RNAcentral is "bacterial SSU rRNA". It matches the Rfam family "Bacterial small subunit ribosomal RNA", at positions 651 to 1456 of the family's 1533-position model. The record is from RNAcentral.